This 507-nucleotide ribosomal RNA is filed under the name uncultured archaeon. RNAcentral's name for it is "bacterial SSU rRNA". It matches the Rfam family "Archaeal small subunit ribosomal RNA", at positions 352 to 859 of the family's 1478-position model. The record is from RNAcentral.
ACAAUGCGGGAAACCGCGAUAAGGGGAUACCGAGUGCCAGCAUAUUAUGUUGGCUGUCCACAUGUGUAAACGGCAUGUGUUAGCAAGGGCCGGGCAAGACCGGUGCCAGCCGCCGCGGUAACACCGGCGGCCCGAGUGGUAAUCACUUUUAUUGGGUCUAAAGGGUCCGUAGCCGGUUUGAUCAGUUCUUCGGGAAAUCUGACAGCUCAACUGUUAGGCUUCCGGGGAAUACUGUCAGACUUGGGACCGGGAGAGGUAAGAGGUACUACAGGGGUAGGAGUGAAAUCUUGUAAUCCCUGUGGGACCACCAGUGGCGAAGGCGUCUUACCAGAACGGGUCCGACGGUGAGGGACGAAAGCUGGGGGCACGAACCGGAUUAGAUACCCGGGUAGUCCCAGCCGUAAACGAUGUUCGCUAGGUGUCAGGGACGGUGCGACCGUUUCUGGUGCCGUAGGUAAGCCGUGAAGCGAACCACCUGGGAAGUACGGCCGCAAGGCUGAAACUUAA